Molecule: ribosomal RNA, 444 nt
Filed under: uncultured bacterium
Lineage: Bacteria
Description: partial 16S ribosomal RNA
Rfam family: Bacterial small subunit ribosomal RNA
Source: RNAcentral
GUAGGGAAUAUUGGGCAAUGGUCGGAAGACUGACCCAGCCAUGCCGCGUGCAGGAAGACGGCCCUCUGGGUUGUAAACUGCUUUUAUCUGGGAAGAAAAAGGCCAUGCGUGGCAAAUUGCCGGUACCAGAUGAAUAAGCACCGGCUAACUCCGUGCCAGCAGCCGCGGUAAUACGGAGGGUGCAAGCGUUGUCCGGAUUUAUUGGGUUUAAAGGGUGCGUAGGCGGCUGAUUAAUGCAGCGGUGAAAGACUCCGGCUUUACCGGAGCAGUGCCGUUGAUACUGGUUAGCUUGAGUGUUGGAUGGGUACAUGGAAUUGAUGGUGUAGCGGUGAAAUGCAUAGAUACCAUCAGGAACACCGAUAGCGAAGGCAUUGUACUGGCCAACAACUGACGCUGAUGCACGAAAGUGUGGGGAUCGAACAGGAUUAGAAACCCCUGUAGUCC